AAAGGAGUAGGCUACAGGAGGACAAUCAGUUAGUUUGGUCUAUUAACAAAGAUAACGGAAGGAUACAAAUUGCACAUGAAAAUGGUUUCAAAUAUUCCCUUUUGUUGUUUAUCUGCACUUGUGCUCCUUAACUUAGUAGGAGCCAAACCUGUGUCCAACCUUCAGACGCUGAAACAGAUUCUGGAAGAAGAAAGUAAUGUGCCAUAUUACGAUUCAGAGGAGACGGUAGAAUCAGAUGGCAAAAACUUGAAUACAGAGAAGGCGAGUUUCGAUGCUGCAGAAGAGCGUCAGUGGGACUUGAGGAAUUCUGCGCUGGAGGGAAAAGACAACGCUCUCGCGCGUCUACUAACUGAUCUUAUGACAACCUCCAAGCGUUCGUGGGGCCGAUACAAGAAGGGCGGCUUGAGAAGUUGUUUUGGCGUCAGGCUUGAACGAAUUGGUUCAUUCAGCGGGCUUGGAUGUUAAAGAAUAAUAGGUUUGGAUGGUGGCGGAUCGGAGCACAAGAAUCUGGGCUACCCUUACUUGAAAUCUGCAUAGAUAUGUACCUCUGCAACUCAGAGUAUUGACUGAGAGUUUACAAAUUUGCUAUAGGAUAAAGUUAUUUAAGUUUGUAGUUUGUAUUUGGCAUAUUUAAUGGUUCUUAGAACUGUACAUCCUAUUUUUCACAUCAUAUGGUUCUGGCUGUAUUCUGUGUAUUUAUCUAUUUAUUUUAUUGUUAAACAAAGUAUGGUGUGAAGAAAUGCUAUAGAAUGUACUGAAGUGAAAUAAAUAUUUUGCAUAAUAG
Hypomesus transpacificus is the source of this 784-nucleotide long non-coding RNA. RefSeq lists it as uncharacterized. NCBI's taxonomy places the organism in Eukaryota, Metazoa, Chordata, Actinopteri, Osmeriformes, Osmeridae. The record is from RefSeq and is a predicted model, not a curated record. The transcript has 3 exons.